GACAGAGGGGGCAAGCGUUGUCGGGAGUUACGGGGCGUAAAGGGCGCGGAGGCGGUCUGCGGCGUCGGCGCUGAAAGCGCCUCGCUUAAGGGGGCGAGGCGUGCCGAUACGCGCAGACUUGAGGCGAGCAGAGGGUGGUGGAAGUCCGGGUGGAGCGGUGAAAUGCGUAGAGAUCCGGAGGAACGCCAGUGGGGAAGCCGGCCACCUGGGCUCGUCCUGACGCUGCGGCGCGACAGCGUGGGGAGCAAACCGG
RNAcentral lists this ribosomal RNA (253 nucleotides) under uncultured bacterium. RNAcentral's name for it is "partial 16S ribosomal RNA". It matches the Rfam family "Bacterial small subunit ribosomal RNA", at positions 524 to 776 of the family's 1533-position model. The record is from RNAcentral.